CCUACGGGAGGCAGCAGUGAGGAAUAUUGGUCAAUGGCCGUAAGGCUGAACCAGCCAAGUAGCGUGAGGGAAGACUGCCCUAUGGGUUGUAAACCUCUUUUAUGCGGGGAUAAAGGUGUCCACGUGUGGAUGUUUGCAGGUACCGCAUGAAUAAGGACCGGCUAAUUCCGUGCCAGCAGCCGCGGUAAUACGGAAGGUCCGGGCGUUAUCCGGAUUUAUUGGGUUUAAAGGGAGCGUAGGCCGGUCUUUAAGCGGGCCGUGAAAGUUUGUGGCUCAACCAUGGGAGUGCGGCGCGAACUGGAGACCUUGAGUGCGCGAACGGCAGGCGGAAUUCGUGGUGUAGCGGUGAAAUGCUUAGAUAUCACGAAGAACCCCGAUUGCGAAGGCAGCCUGCCGCAGCGUUACUGACGCUGAGGCUCGAAAGCGCGGGUAUCGAACAGGAUUAGAUACCCUUGUAGUC
This 460-nucleotide ribosomal RNA is filed under the name uncultured bacterium. Its description in RNAcentral is "partial 16S ribosomal RNA". It matches the Rfam family "Bacterial small subunit ribosomal RNA", at positions 338 to 795 of the family's 1533-position model. The record is from RNAcentral.